AUUGAACGCUGGCGGCAUGCCUUACACAUGCAAGUCGAACGGCAGCACGGGGGCAACCUUGGUGGCGAGUGGCGAACGGGUGAGUAAUACAUCGGAACGUGCCCUGAAGUGGGGGGAUAACGUAGCGAAAGUUACGCUAAUACCGCAUAUUCUGUGAGCAGGAAAGCAGGGGAUCGCAAGACCUUGUGCUUUAGGAGCGGCCGAUGUCGGAUUAGCUAGUUGGUGAGGUAAAGGCUCACCAAGGCGACGAUCCGUAGCGGGUCUGAGAGGAUGAUCCGCCACACUGGGACUGAGACACGGCCCAGACUCCUACGGGAGGCAGCAGUGGGGAAUUUUGGACAAUGGGCGCAAGCCUGAUCCAGCCAUGCCGCGUGAGUGAAGAAGGCCUUGGUGUAAG
This 397-nucleotide ribosomal RNA is filed under the name uncultured bacterium. RNAcentral describes it as "bacterial SSU rRNA". It matches the Rfam family "Bacterial small subunit ribosomal RNA", at positions 30 to 429 of the family's 1533-position model. The record is from RNAcentral.